RNAcentral lists this long non-coding RNA (498 nucleotides) under Mytilus galloprovincialis (Mediterranean mussel). Lineage: Eukaryota; Metazoa; Mollusca; Bivalvia; Mytilida; Mytilidae. The record is from RNAcentral.
GUUUGUCGAUUUUCUGAACUCAAUAUACGGUCACCAAUCUAAAAAGUUCAUACUUGUGUCAAUUUCUUUAUUCCAGUCAAAUUUGUUCCACGAAUCUUACGCUUUUGGGUGUCAUUCACAGUCCAAAUUUCUUGACAAUAAGUCAUUGUAUAAAUAAAAUAAAUCCAAGGUGUUUUACUCACAAACAUUUGUGUCAUUUGUGACAUACGGCGAUUUGCGUUCUUUGACAUAGCGUAUUACUCGUAACCCGAAGAUUUGACGCCCUUCUCGUAAUCAAUCUCUAUCCUCGGUAAAUGAUGUUGUCAUCAUAGAUCAUCAGAAUAUAUCGACUUAAUCAUUCAAUAAGAAUACUCUAAGAAAUACGAAAAUCGAAAUUUGAAACAGGAAGUUUUACAUGAAACGAAAUUAUCUACGGUUACCGGUAACAGAAAUGAACAAAAUCCGGAAAUCGUAAUUUUUUUCAAAAAUAAAAAAAAUCGGGGCGGGGAGAUUUUAGAG